This 82-nucleotide transfer RNA is filed under the name Candidatus Arsenophonus lipoptenae. Its description in RNAcentral is "Arsenophonus symbiont of Lipoptena fortisetosa tRNA". It matches the Rfam family "tRNA". From Rfam's summary of the family: Transfer RNA (tRNA) molecules are approximately 80 nucleotides in length. The record is from Rfam by way of RNAcentral. Lineage: Bacteria; Pseudomonadati; Pseudomonadota; Gammaproteobacteria; Enterobacterales; Morganellaceae.
GCGGGGGUGGCGAAAUUGGUAUACGCACCAGAUUUAGGUUCUGACGCCAAAUGGCAUACGAGUUCAAGUCUCGUCUCCCGCA